GACGAACGCUGGCGGCGUGCUUAGCACAUGCAAGUCGAGCGGAAAGGCCCCUUUGGGGGUACUCGAGCGGCGAACGGGUGAGUAACACGUGAGUAAUCUGCCCUUCACUUCAGGAUAGCUCCCGGAAACGGGGAUUAAUACUGGAUAUGACACAUUCGCGCAUGUGGGUGUGUGGAAAGUUUUUUCGGUGGGGGAUGUGCUCGCGGCCUAUCAGCUUGAUGGUGGGGUAAUGGCCUACCAUGGCUUCGACGGGUAGCCGGCCUGAGAGGGUGACCGGUCACACUGGGACUGAGACACGGCCCAGACUCCUACGGGAGGCAGCAGUGGGGAAUAUUGGACAAUGGGCGGAAGCCUGAUCCAGCAACGCCGCGUGAGGGAUGACGGCCUUCGGGUUGUAAACCUCUUUCAGCACAGACGAAGCGCAAGUGACGGUAUGUGCAGAAGAAGGACCGGCCAACUACGUGCCAGCAGCCGCGGUAAUACGUAGGGUCCGAGCGUUGUCCGGAAUUAUUGGGCGUAAAGGGCUCGUAGGCGGUUUGUCGCGUCGGGAGUGAAAACGCCGUGCUUAACACGGUGCUUGCUUUCGAUACGGGCAGACUGGAGGCAUGCAGGGGAGAAUGGAAUUCCUGGUGUAGCGGUGAAAUGCGCAGAUAUCAUGAGGAACACCGGUGGCGAAGGCGGUUCUCUGGGCAUGUCCUGACGCUGAGGAGCGAAAGUGUGGGGAGCGAACA
RNAcentral lists this ribosomal RNA (731 nucleotides) under uncultured Nocardioides sp. RNAcentral describes it as "bacterial SSU rRNA". It matches the Rfam family "Bacterial small subunit ribosomal RNA", at positions 28 to 774 of the family's 1533-position model. Lineage: Bacteria; Bacillati; Actinomycetota; Actinomycetes; Propionibacteriales; Nocardioidaceae. The record is from RNAcentral.